CACGUAGUUAGCCGGAGCUUCUUGGUCAGGUACUGUCAUUUUCUUCCCUGCUGAUAGAGCUUUACAUACCGAAAUACUUCUUCACUCACGCGGCGUCGCUGCAUCAGGGUUUCCCCCAUUGUGCAAUAUCCCCCACUGCUGCCUCCCGUAGGAGUUUGGGCCGUGUCUCAGUCCCAAUGUGGCCGUCCGCCCUCUCAGGCCGGCUACUGAUCGUCGCUUUGGUAGGCCGUUACCCUGCCAACUGGCUAAUCAGACGCGGGUCCAUCAUAUACCACCGGAGUUUUUCACACCGGGGCAUGCGCCCCUGUGCGCUUAUGCGGUAUUAGCACCUAUUUCUAAGUGUUAUCCCCCUGUAUAUGGCAGGUUACCCACGCGUUACUCACCCGUCCGCCACUAGGGCGUGAAAAGUUUGAAGUCUAGUAAACUAUCCCUCUCGCACAUCACGCCCCCGUUCGACUUGCAUGUGUUAAGCACGCCGCCAGCGUUCAUCCUGAGCCAGGAUCAAA
This 506-nucleotide ribosomal RNA is filed under the name uncultured Lachnospiraceae bacterium. RNAcentral describes it as "partial 16S ribosomal RNA". The record is from RNAcentral. Lineage: Bacteria; Bacillati; Bacillota; Clostridia; Lachnospirales; Lachnospiraceae.